AAAUAAGGACAUAACACAUGCAAAUUAAACAAUAAUUAUAAGAAUAAUAAUUAUAAUGUAGUGAAGACGUGAGUAAAAAAUUAGGAAUAAUGAACUAUAAAAUAAGUUAAAUGCUUAAUAUCUAUCCUUUUGGAUAAGUAAAGAAUAUGAGAAUAUUUGUUUAUAGUCAAGCCAAUAAUGGUUUAGGUAGUAGGAUUAAUAAAGUUAAGCCUAGCCAACGAUCCAUAAUCGAUAAUUAAAGUUAGAACGAUCACGUUGUUUGAAAUAUAAUCAAUAUCUAUAGAUACAGCAGUGGGGAAUAUUAGACAAUGAUCGAAAGAUUGAUCUAGUUACUUAUUAGGAUGAUAUUAAAA
Molecule: ribosomal RNA, 353 nt
Filed under: Maudiozyma exigua
Lineage: Eukaryota; Fungi; Ascomycota; Saccharomycetes; Saccharomycetales; Saccharomycetaceae
Description: Kazachstania exigua partial small subunit ribosomal RNA
Rfam family: Bacterial small subunit ribosomal RNA
Source: RNAcentral